AUGUGGCAAUGCAAGACCUGCCCUUCAGUUUUUCCAAGUAGGUCCCAUAUUCUGAAUCACUAUCGAGUCAGUCAUAGACAUUAUGGGAAUAACAACCGUAUUCCAUGUGUGCAUGCAAGCUGCCCAUGCACUUUUAGAACGUGGAAUGCAUUAUUAAUUCAUUUGAAUAGGUGUCAUGGUAUUAAAACCAGUUGUCAUCAGUCAGAGAAAUUAACAUUUAGUUGCCAUUUGUGUCCUUGUAAGGAUCUUGUGUCUGAGAGGGAUUACUGGACUCACAUUAAUGCACAUUUAAAGAAAAAUGAGGUUGUAACGUGUAUGUUCUUGGAUUGCAAAUUUCAAACAAACAUUUUAGGAUCUUUUAAGUCCCACAAGAGCAGAAAACACAGGUCUUUUUCCUCAAAAGAGUUUAAACCAGGAAUUGUAGUAUCAGCCACCCUUGCUUCCCCAGAAUCUGCUUUAAAUACUUCUGAUGAUGACAUUGGUGAGGAUGCUCAACUCGGUAGCUUUACAGGUGCUCUAAAUGACCUCCCAGAUGUAAUCGAGCACAGUCUGGCAGCAGCUUUGUUAAAAUUAGAACAUUUUUCCCAUGUACCAAGCAGAGCAAUCAAUGAUUUUUUAGUAGAACUUCACCACUUAACUGGCUGUCUCUCAAAAUCUCAUGCUGAAGGUGUUGUAGUAGACAUUUUUCAGAAGCACAAGCUCCAGGUUGACAGAGCUCUCAUAGAUGAACUAAUCUCCUCUCUGUGCUCAGCAAAUCCUCUAAAUAAGGCCAUAGAGAAGGGUGGACCUUUGAGUUCUGCAUAUCAACGUAAGCAAUAUUACAAGGCAAAAUUUAAUGUUGUUGAACCACUUGAAUAUAUUUUGGAUGCGAAAGAGAACAAAACAUUCCAGUAUGUCCCCAUCCUAGAAUCCCUGCAAGUCCUGCUAAGCAGGAAAGAUAUUGUGGAUAAGAUAGUUAGUCAUCACAAAACACAAAGGGAGACAGAGACUGGAAAAAAAAUUGUGUACAGGUCUUACAAGGAUGGUCUGCAUUUUAAGGAAAAUAGUUUGUUGUCAGGGGAGGACCUAAGUUUAUCCAUAACUUUGUAUGCUGAUGACUUUGAGGUCUGUAACCCUUUGGGCACCUCCCGCAAAACCCACAAACUUUGUGCUGUGUAUUGGGUACUAAGUAAUCUUCCCCCAGGGUCUCAUUCCAGUUUGUCCUCAAUUUUCUUGGCCAUUUUGUGUAAAACGGACACUGUAAAGUCAUUUGGUUAUGACAAGGUUUUAGAGCCCCUAAUACACGACCUGAGGUCUUUGGAAGUUGAGGGCAUUUUUGUCCCACAACUGAACAAAACACUGAAGGGUACAGUGCAGACUAUUGCUGCUUACAAUUUAGGAGCACACGGAAUAGCAGGUUUUGUGGAGAACUUUACAGGCCACUACUUUUGUCGUUUUUGUACAGCACCAGCUUCAGAUAUUCAAUUGCAUGAGGUUAGGUCAGGAACUUUCAGCCUCAGAACAAAAGAAACACACGAAACCCAUGUCAGAGCAGCGUUGGAUAGUGGCAGUAGCUUAUUUGGAGUAAAAAGAGCCUGUCCUUUUACUGGAGCACUGUCUCAUUUUCAUGUUGUCAGUGGCUACCCUCCUGACAUUGCUCAUGAUCUUUUUGAAGGCAUUGUGCCUGUUGAAAUAGCUCAUUGCCUCACAUUACUAAUAUCAAAGAAGUAUAUCACCUUGGAUGAUAUAAACAGUUCUAUUCUGCAUUUCCCAUACAAGUGGACAGACAAAACCAAUAAGCCUCAUACUUUGCCACAAAAUCUUUCAAGCAGGAAAACCAUAGGGGGCAAUGCCCAUGAAAAUUGGAGCUUGUUAAGAUUGCUCCCAUUUCUAAUUGGCCCCAGUAUUCCUGAACAUGAGCCAGUAUGGCAGGUCUUGUUGGAUCUAAAACAGAUGGUUGAGCUAGUGGUUGCCCCAGUUCACAGUGACGAGUCUAUCGCUUACCUUGAGAGCAAAAUUUCAGAUCAUCGACAAAGGUAUCAAGAGGUGUUUCCUAACAAAAAAUUGCUGCCCAAACACCACUACAUAGAACAUUACCCACAACUGAUAAAGCUUUUGGGGCCUCUCGUGGGACUUUGGACCAUCAGGUUUGAGGCAAAGCACAGUUUCUUUAAAAAAGUUAUGAAACACACCAGUUGCUUUAAAAACGUGCCUCUGUCUCUGGCUGUGAAACAUCAGAUUAUGAUUGGCUAUCACUUGUCAUCUCCAAAUAUUGAUAAACCAGUGCUGGAUGUAUCGGAUGUAUCCACUGUCCCAUUAGAUGUUUUGAAGGAAGAGCUAGCUCAAGCUUUUAAACAGAGAGAUCCUGAUGUAUCUGAAAUAAACCUAGCAAAAAACGUUUGGAGCAAGGGAAUAAACUACAGACCAGGUAUGAUAGUGCCAUAUGGUUCUGAGGGUGGCAUGCCUGAAUUUGGGGAAAUCCAUCAAAUAUGUAUCCUGCAGCAGAGACUAUUUUUUGUGUUGAAACUGCUGUGUGGAUGGUAUUGUGAGCAUUAUGGAGCCUUUCAGCUGACUCCAUCUCCAGCACGAGAACUUGCUCUUGUGGAAAUCUCCGAACUGGUUGAUGAGUAUCCAUUGGCUGCCUAUGUAGUUGGGGGUGUGCGGAUGGUGACCUUGAAGAGAUCAAUCUGUUUGUUCUGGUAUGUAAAAAAAAAAAAAAAAAAAUAUAUAUAUAUAUAUAUAUAUUAUAUAUAUAGAUAUAUAUAUAUAUAUAUAUCUAUAUAUAUAUAUAUAUAUAUAUAUAUAGAUAUAUAUAAUACUAUAUCUCUAUCUCAUCUCUAUAUAUCUAUACUAUAUCUCUCUCUAUAUCUCUCUCUCUAUAUAUAUCUACCCACCCGUGGUUUUUUUUUAUUUAUUUUUUUCUCAUCUCUGGAGAUGAUAUAA
Molecule: long non-coding RNA, 2922 nt
Filed under: Sparus aurata (gilthead seabream)
Lineage: Eukaryota; Metazoa; Chordata; Actinopteri; Spariformes; Sparidae
Description: lncRNA (ENSSAUG00010020155.1)
Source: RNAcentral